AGAGUUUGAUCCUGGCUCAGAACAAACGCUGGCGGCGUGCAUAACACAUGCAAGUCUAACGGGAAUGUCGGCUUCGGCUGACUAGUACCGUGGCGAACGGGUGAGUAACACGUGGGUAAUCUAACCUCGAGUUUGGGAUAACCUUGCGAAAGCGGGGCUAAUACCGAAUAAGACCACGCCCUGCCCGCAGGGUGCGGUAAAAGGUGGCCUCUUCUUGAAAGCUAUCACUUGAGGAUGAGCCCGCGGCCUAUUAGCUAGUUGGUGGGGUAAUGGCCUACCAAGGCGACGAUGGGUAGCCGGCCUGAGAGGGUGUACGGCCACACUGGCACUGAGAUACGGGCCAGACUCCUACGGGAGGCAGCAGUGGGGAAUUUUGCGCAAUGGGGGAAAGCCUGACGGAGCAACGCCGCGUGAGGGAGGAAGGCCUUAGGGUUGUAAACCUCUUUUCUCUGGGAAGAAGAACUGACGGUACCAGAGGAAUAAGCCU
This 487-nucleotide ribosomal RNA is filed under the name uncultured bacterium. Its description in RNAcentral is "bacterial SSU rRNA". It matches the Rfam family "Bacterial small subunit ribosomal RNA", at positions 8 to 493 of the family's 1533-position model. The record is from RNAcentral.